UAAUAUACUAUUUUAGUGUGGAGUGAAUGCCUUGGAAGAAAAAUAUAGGCGCGGACAAUCGCGAAAGUGUUGACACGAGGAAAGCCUGUGACGUCAACCAACCUAAAAUGGGAAACCGGGGCUAAAAAGCCCGCUGCUUAGGCAGUAUCAAGGGGAAGUGAAACAUCUCAGUACCCUGUAGACCAAAUCAACCGAGAUAUCGUUAGUAGUGGUGAGCGAAAGCGAUAAAAAGGCAAAACGAAAAUUUUAUUAUUAAGAAUGAAAAGAAGUUUUGUUUUUCAAUGAAAUUUCUACCUUAGAAGGUGUUAGUCCUGUAAUUCUUUUUUUUUUCGUGAAAGUAAGACGAGGCAAGUUUACCUUGUCUGAGUAUUGGGGGACCACCCUCAAAGCCUAUAGUUAUUUUUCUUACCGAUAGUGAACAAGUACCGUGAGGGAAAGGUGAAAAAGAAGUUGCGACAGUGCAAAGAUCCUGAAACUCCAUAUUUGAGUCGGAGCUAUAAAAAGCAACGGCAUACCUUUUGUAUAAUGGGCAAGUGAAUCUUAAUAAAGGGCAAGCUUAAGCUAAUAAAAGUGUAGGCGAAGAGAAAUCGAGUCCUAUGUGGCAUCCUAAAGUCCUUUGUUAAGUACCCGAAACCGGCUGAUCUAAACUUGAGCAGGCUGAUAUUGUAGUGGCAACAUUCUUUGGAGGGCCGAACCCGUGUAUGUGGCAAAAUACUGGGAUGACUUGAGUUUAGGGGUGAAAGGCCAAUCAAAGUCGGUGAUAGCUGGAUUUCUGCGAAAUCUAUUGAAGUAGAGCGUCCUAAACAGUAAAUCUGGGGUAGAGCACUGUAUAAGCAAGGGGGAGAUCUUCUCUUACUAAACUUUGGCAAACUCCGAAUACAGAUUUUUCAUUUAGGGCAGACAGAGUAUGUAUGCUAAGAUUCAUACUCAAGAGGGAAACAGCCCAGACUGUAGGCUAAGGUCCACAAAAUAGUUUCAGUGGUAAAGGUGAUAUCUGCUCUGAGACCGUCAGGAGGUAGGCUUGGAAGCAGCCAUCCUUUUAAGACAGCGUAACAGCUCACUGACCUAGAGUAGAAGUCCCGCCAAUUUUGAGGGCUUAAAACUAUUACCGAAGCCUCAGACAAAAAUGUUAAGAUAAUUAAAAACUCUUAUAUUUUGUGGUAGCAGAACAUUCCGUAGGUCGUAGAAGUUUUGACGUAAGUUAAGAUCAAGAUAUCGGAAGCGAGAAUACUUGCAUGAGUAGCAUAAAACAAUGAAAUUAAAGCAUUGUGGCCGUAAGUCCAAGGUUUACGAUCUUAAGUAAAACUGGGUCGUGAGAGGGUAACACCUCGAUUUAAAACGGUCCCUAAGCUGUUAAGCCAAAGCUUGCAGUAAUGGGUAAGAUUAAACUGUUAAAAGUUGCUGACGAAAAAUUCACCUUAUUCUUGAAUUUGUCAAGAGUUAGUUAUUUUUUCCAAGAAAAAGGCACUUUAUUUAUACCGUACCUUAAACCGCCUCAGGUGGACGGGUGGAGAACACUAAGGCCUUGAGAUAACCCUGUUGAAGGAACUCGGCAAAAUGACUCUGUAACUUCGGAAUAAGGAGUAAAGACAUGUAGCGCAAGCUUUUGUCUUUGUCACAAAAUCGGGGGUGGCGACUGUUUAUUAAAAACACAGGUCUCUGCUAACUCGCAAGAGGAUGUAUAGGGACUGACACCUGCCCGGUGCCGGUAGGUGAAGCUUUGAUGUUUACGCAUUGAGGUCAAACCCCGGUAAACGGCGGCUGUAACUAUGACGGUCCUAAGGUAGCGAAAUUCCUUGUCGGGUAAGUUCCGACCCGCAUGAAUGGUGUAACGACUUCCCCGCUGUCUCCAACAGGGACUCAGUGAAAUUACAUAGGUCGUGAAGAUGCGACCAUCCCACAGCUGGACGGAAAGACCCCGUGCACCUUUACUAUAAGCAAAUAUUGUAGGUCAAAGACUCUAGUGUAGAAUAGGUGGGAGCUUAUGAUUCUUUCUCGUCAGAGUCUGAUGAGGCGAUAGUGAAAUACCACCCCGAGAUCUGUUGGCUUACUAACUAAGGGACAGUGUUUGCUGGGUAGUUUGACUGGGGCGGUCGCCUCCUAAAGAGUAACGGAGGCAUACAAAGGUAGGUUCAUCUCCUUCUAAGGGGAAUUGAGUAUAAUGGUAUAAACCUGCUUGACUGAAAGAAAGACAUUUCGAUCAGAGACGUAAGUCGGUCAUAGUGAUCCGGUGGUUCUUUGUGGAAAGGCCAUCGCGCAAUGGAUAAAAGGUACGCCGGGGAUAACAGGCUAAUGAUCCUCUAGAGCCCCUAUCGACGGGUUCGUUUGGCACCUCGAUGUCGACUCAUCACAUCCUGGAGCUGGAAAAGGUUCCAAGGGUUCGGCUGUUCGCCGACGAAAGUGGUACGUGAGUUGGGUUUAGAACGUCGUGAGACAGUUUGGUCCCUAUCUUCUGUGGGUGUUUGAAAAUUCCGAGGACUAGACCUUAGUACGAGAGGACCGGGAAAACUCGAUCCCUUGUGUUCCGGUUGUUCCCUAAGGGGCAUCGCCGGGUAGCUACAUCGAGAAGAGAUAAUCGACCGUUAGGCGAGAAACUCUCCUCUAGUAAAGUUUUCUAAAGGGGGUGGAAGAUUACCACUUUGAUAGGCGGGAGGUGUAAGAGCUGUAAGGUUUUCAGCUGACCCGUACUAAUCCCUAUAAAAAUAAAAUUAUAUAGUUUUUGC
This 2723-nucleotide ribosomal RNA is filed under the name Alaria esculenta (Atlantic wakame). RNAcentral's name for it is "large subunit ribosomal RNA". It matches the Rfam family "Bacterial large subunit ribosomal RNA". The record is from RNAcentral. Lineage: Eukaryota; Phaeophyceae; Laminariales; Alariaceae.